Molecule: long non-coding RNA, 819 nt
Filed under: Homo sapiens (human)
Lineage: Eukaryota; Metazoa; Chordata; Mammalia; Primates; Hominidae
Description: non-protein coding lnc-SIM2-3:1
Source: RNAcentral
AAAAUUAACCAUUUCAAUUUUCUCAAAUAGUUUUAAGUACAGCAGAUUAAACUAAAUGUCUUUAACUAAAGCACUAACAGGUAUAAUGAUAACAAUUUGGUAAGUCACAGUAAAGUCUCUUAACUAUCCUUCAGAUAUUAAUAAAGUGAAUAACUCUAAUAACCAGUAACAGAUUCUUUCACAAAUCAGGUGGGUUCCAGUUCUUUGCUUUCAACAAAACUGAAGGAGGACCUAACUGAGUUAUUAAGUCAAUAAAAAUAAUUACUGAUGAGAGUGCAAUAUAAUUUUUGGCAUAUAACUUGUAAACAUUUCAAAAAAACUGAGUGGCAAUGCUGUUUUUAAAAAUUAAUUCCAUCCAAAUGGAAUUAACAUUUGUUUUUGUUGUAGAAAAGCAUCCUGGAGUGAUUAAUAAAAGACUUUUCAAGCAUAAAAAUGGGUUAUAUUAGUAUAUUGUUCUAUGGGGAAGAAUGGAAAUAUGAGUUCAAAAAUAUAAAAUAACGAUGUGAAAUUUUGACUAUUAAAAAAGAGUCUCAUAUAACUUUUAAUGGAUAAUGGCAGGCAUCAAAUAGGUAUGGCAUUUAAAUUCAUUGGAUAAAUUUUAGAAAGACAUGAGACUCUUUGAACGUCAAUAUUUGUCAUAUGUUAAAAAUCACAUCCUACAAUUAAGCUUUUGAUGAGAACUGUUAGAUGUCAGCUUAAACACGUGUAAGGGGAUUUACAGAUUUUCAAAAUUAUUUUAGGGGUACACAACUAAGAACACUGAACAAUCACUGCUAUAAUGGCACCCUAUUACUCUACCACAGGAACAAAAGCUCCCGG